RNAcentral lists this ribosomal RNA (2819 nucleotides) under Globobulimina sp. RNAcentral's name for it is "bacterial LSU rRNA". It matches the Rfam family "Bacterial large subunit ribosomal RNA". Lineage: Eukaryota; Foraminifera; Rotaliida; Buliminidae. The record is from RNAcentral.
GGUGAAUGCCUUGGCACUAGAAGGCGAUGAAGGACGUAGCACGUUGCGAUAAGCCUCGGGGAGCCGCAAGCAGGCUUUGAUCCGAGGAUUUCCGAAUGGGGAAACCCGGCGCCUUAGCGUCAUCGUAUGCUGAAUAAAUAGGCAUACGAAGCAAACCCGGUGAACUGAAACAUCUAAGUAACCGGAGGAAAGGACAUCAACCGAGACUCCGUUAGUAGUGGCGAGCGAACGCGGACCAGGCCAGUGGCCUAUUUGUAAGAACCGGAAUCGUCUGGAAAGUCGAGCCAUAGCGGGUGAUAGCCCCGUACGGGUAGAAAGCUUUGCGGUCCUCGAGUAGGGCGGGACACGUGAAAUCCUGCCUGAACGUGGGGGGACCACCCUCCAAGCCUAAGUACUCCUGUGCGACCGAUAGUGAACCAGUACCGUGAGGGAAAGGUGAAAAGCACCCCGAUGAGGGGAGUGAAACAGAUCCUGAAACCGAAUGCUUACAAUCUGUGGGAGCCUCCUUGAGGGGUGACCGCGUACCUUUUGUAUAAUGGGUCAGCGAGUUAAUUUUGCGAGCAAGCUUAAGCCGUUAGGUGUAGGCGUAGCGAAAGCGAGUCUUAAUAGGGCGACUGUAGUUCGUAGGAUUAGACCCGAAACCAGGUGAUCUAGCCAUGAGCAGGCUGCAGGUGGGGUAACACCCACUGAAGGGCCGAACCCACUGAUGUUGAAAAAUCACGGGAUGACUUGUGGCUAGGGGUGAAAGGCCAAUCAAACCUGGAGAUAGCUGGUUCUCCGCGAAAACUAUUUAGGUAGUGCGUCGAGCGAUUACCUUCGGGGGUAGAGCACUGGAUGGGCUAGGGGGCCGCGAGGCUUACCAAACCUAACCAAACUCCGAAUACCGAAGAGUACAGCUCGGCAGACAGACCACGGGUGCUAAGGUCCGUGGUCGAAAGGGAAACAGCCCAGACCGCCAGCUAAGGUCCCUAAUGUAAGCUAAGUGGGAAAGGUUGUGGGAACGCUCAGACAGCCAGGAGGUUGGCUUAGAAGCAGCCAUCCUUUAAAGAGUGCGUAAUAGCUCACUGGUCAAACGCUCUUGCGCGGAUAAUGUAACGGGGCUUAAGUCACCCACCGAAGCCAGGGAUGCUGCACAUUAGUGUGGCGUAGUAGGGGAGCGUUCCAGGAGCAGUGAAGCGGUACCGGUAAGGCGCCGUGGAGCGACUGGAAGUGAGAAUGCUGGCAUGAGUAGCGUAAAACAUGUGAGAACCAUGUUCACCGUAAGUCUAAGGUUUCCGACGGAAGGUCAGUCCGCGUCGGGUUAGUCGGGCCUUAGCCGAGGCCGCAAGGCGUAGGCGAUGGACAACAGGUUAAUAUUCCUGUACCACCUGCAUGGAGCGAUGGAGGGACGUCGCUGGAACACCCAGCCUCUGAUUGGAUUGAGGUGCUAAGCGUAGUAAGCUGUGACGGGGUAGGAAAAUCCGCCCCUGAGCUGAACGCGCGAUGGCGGUGCCUACGGGCCACAAGUGGGAAGACCGGCGACCGAGAAAAGCUUCUAAGUGAUGAAGUGUAGGUGCCCGUACCGCAAACCGACACUGGUAGACGGGUUGAGUAUACUAAGGUGAACGGGAGAACCCUCGUUAAGGAACUAGGCAAAAUGGCCCCGUAACUUCGGGAGAAGGGGCGCCACCUUCGGGUGGUCGCAGUGAAAUGGCUCUGCCGACUGUUUAACAAAAACACAGGUCUCUGCAAACGUGAAAACGGAUGUAUAGGGGCUGACGCCUGCCCAGUGCCGGAAGGUUAAGGGGAGGGGUUCACGCUCUGAACCGAAGCCCCGGUGAACGGCGGCCGUAACUAUAACGGUCCUAAGGUAGCGAAAUUCCUUGUCGGGUAAGUUCCGACCCGCACGAAUGGCGUAACGAGUGGAGCGCUGUCUCAACGAGGGACCCGGCGAAAUUGAAAUACGUGUAAAGAUGCGCGUUACCCGCAGCAGGACAAAAAGACCCCGUGGAGCUUUACUACAACUUGCUAUUGCGUUAGGGCUGAGCUUGUGCAGGAUAACUGGGAGGCUGGGAAGCUGGGACGUCAGUCUCGGUGGAGCCAACGUUGAGAUACCAGUCUGGUUCAGUUUUGGCCCUAACCGUGUGCCGUAUAACCGGGCACGGGACAGUGGCAGGUGGGUAGUUUGACUGGGGCGGUCGCCUCCGAAAGCGUAACGGAGGCGCCCAAAGGUUCCCUCAGGGUGAAUGGAAACCACCCGCAGAGUGUAAAGGCACAAGGGAGCUUGACUGCGAGACUUACACGCCGAGCAGGGACGAAAGUCGGGCUUAGUGAUCCCACGGUACCGAGUGGAAGGGCCGUGGCUUACCGGAUAAAAGCUACCCCGGGGAUAACAGGCUAGUCUUCUCCAAGAGUUCACAUCGACGAGAAGGCUCGGCACCUCGAUGUCGGCUCAUCGCAUCCUGGGGCUGAAUCAGGUCCCAAGGGUUGGGCUGUUCGCCCAUUAAAGCGGUACGUGAGCUGGGUUCAGACCGUCGUGAGACAGGUCGGUCUCUAUCCGCUGUGGGCGUUGGGAAUUUGCGAGGAGCUGCCCCUAGUACGAGAGGACCGGGGUGGACGAAGCGCUCGUGUGUCGGUUGUCACGCCAGUGGCAUAGCCGAGUAGCGACCUUCGGUAGAGAUAACCGCUGAAAGCAUCUAAGCGGGAAACUCGCCUCAAGAUGAGCUUCCUCACUGGAUAACCAGGUAAGACCGCUGGUAGACUACCAGCUUGAUAGGCCGGAUGUGUACGCACAGCAAUGUGUUCAGCUAACCGGUACUAAUGGUCGAGGGCUUAUCCCC